Molecule: ribosomal RNA, 437 nt
Filed under: uncultured bacterium
Lineage: Bacteria
Description: partial 16S ribosomal RNA
Rfam family: Bacterial small subunit ribosomal RNA
Source: RNAcentral
AGCGAACGCUGGCGGCAUGCUUAACACAUGCAAGUCGAGCGGGCAUCCUUUUGGUUUGAGCGGCAGACGGGUGAGGAACGCGUGGGUACGUGCCCUGUGGUUCGGACUAACUCAGGGGAACUUUUCCUAAUACCGGGUACGUUAGAGGGCAGGAAGGCCUAUUUGCGGUAGGCUCGGGCCGCGUCUGGUUGGUUAGUUGGUGAGUUUAUGGCUCACCGAUGAGACGAUCGGUAGCUGGUCGGAGAGGCUGUGCAGCUACACUGGGCAUGAGACACGGACCCGACCCCUAGGGGGAGGAGCGGUAGGGAAUAUAGGAGGAGGGGGGCAACCCUGAUAACGCCAUGCCGCGUGAGUGAUGCCGGCCUUAGGGUUGUAAAGCUCUUUUCUACGGGACGAGAAUGACGGUACCGGAGGAAGAAGCCCCGGCUAACUUCGUG